Long non-coding RNA from Thunnus maccoyii (southern bluefin tuna), 1124 nucleotides. RefSeq lists it as uncharacterized. The record is from RefSeq and is a predicted model, not a curated record. The transcript has 4 exons. NCBI's taxonomy places the organism in Eukaryota, Metazoa, Chordata, Actinopteri, Scombriformes, Scombridae.
UUUUUCCACUGUUCAUACAUCUUUGACCUGUGACAAUUUAAUGUCAUUUUGAGGUAGAUAUGUUUAAUGCAUGAUGACACUGAAAAGGUUUUUUUGACAGACUGAGACUUUUGUCCAUAAUUAACCUUCCCUUUUGAUUUUUUGAUAGAAUGGAUUUAUUAAUAUGUUUGAUGACACUGUAAAAUUCAUGUCAGUAUCUUGUUCUUUUUCUAUUUUUUGACCUUUGGGGUUACAUGGAUUUGCAUUGUUAUAUUGUGUGUGUGUGUAUAUUCUGACUGGUGACGCAUGUGCUUUGUGUUAGUUCAAGGUGCUCAUCAGUCAAACCAAUCUCUGUAGUCCUCUGAUUGGAUGAUUGAGGCAGCCCCUACAUGGAAGUAUCGUGAUGCUGCCCAUAUACCUGAUGAAAGUCGGACAGAGUGAAACGUUGUGAUCUAAUAAAUAUUUCAGCAGUUUUCAGAAUAAUUUAGCAGAGAGAAGGCAAAUGUGGAGGAUCACCCUUUUACACCCGUCAAGGCACUGAUGCAGGGCAGUCAGUCUGUAUGGUCUGUGCUUGUGCAAGAGAAGGUGGCAUCCGAAGACAGCCGAGAGAUCCGUGAGACAGCAGGUCCAGCACCAGUAUGCUCGGCACCCUGAGGGCGACGUUGGCCAACUCUUCCAGACGAGGCAUCUUGAAACCAACUUUUUUGGAUUCCUGCUGUGGUGUCUGCGUGUGAUGGGAUGCAGGUGGGCUGGGGCUAAUUGAAUGAUUGUGACUGUGUGAGUGUGUGUGUGUGUGUGUGUUGUUCCGGGGAGCUGAUUGAUUCCAGCCUCUAAAACUUGCUCGUUUUGGGACCAGCUUCUUCCAGCUCCUGCAGGCUCAUCUCUCUCCACUUCCAACCAACAUGUUUCGAUGUUGUAUGUAGUUUUGACUAUGCAAAAUACCAGCCCAGGUUUUGUAGGGGUGGGUAGCAAUGUAAUCCUGUAUGUAAUCCUAUUUUUUCUUUUGUCAAGUUAGGAGUUAGGUUAGUGGCUUGUCUUUUUGUUCUUGUUUUGUUUGAGUAGGUAAGUUUACGUUCCUCAGCUUUAGUUCACUUCUGUUUGUUAUUUAGCUGUUAACUCACCCUGAAGCCUAAAAAGAUUCUAAA